UGGCACCUUGAUGUCGGCUCAUCACAUCCUGGGGCUGUAGCCGGUCCCAAGGGUUUGGCUGUUCGCCAAUUAAAGUGGUACGUGAGCUGGGUUUAGAACGUCGUGAGACAGUUCGGUCCCUAUCUGCCGUGGGCGUCGGAAGUUUGAGAAGAGCUGCUCCUAGUACGAGAGGACCGGAGUGGACGAACCUCUGGUGUUCGGGUUGUCAUGCCAAUGGCAUUGCCCGGUAGCUACGUUCGGAACUGAUAAGCGCUGAAAGCAUCUAAGCGCGAAGCAGGCCUCGAGAUGAGUUCUCACUAGACUUUUAAAGUCUCUGAAGGGCCGUUGAAGACUACAACGUUGAUAGGCAAGAUGUGGAAGUGGUGUGAGCCAUUAAGCUAACUUGUACUAAUUACCCGUGAGA
This 403-nucleotide ribosomal RNA is filed under the name Prymnesium parvum. RNAcentral describes it as "partial Bacterial large subunit ribosomal RNA". It matches the Rfam family "Bacterial large subunit ribosomal RNA", at positions 2519 to 2925 of the family's 2925-position model. The record is from RNAcentral. Lineage: Eukaryota; Haptophyta; Prymnesiales; Prymnesiaceae.